CCGACACACAAACAGAUCAGAGAGAUCUGGAUGACGGGCAGCAAGAACUGGAAACACAACGAGCUGCGAGCACAGAGGAGACGGGCGGCGAUGUUUCUCCACUUCGGCAGCAAAUGUCUGGCUCGCACCUUCCAGUCCGCUGUACCGUCACACACACACACAAUAAAGAUGCACUUUAAAAGUUCUUGCUCCGCUUCCCAGAAUCGGCCGACUCUCAUCGCGCCCGCUCUCGAAUGAUUGGCUGUUCUCCAACGCUCCCUGCGGACUGGACCCCUGUUUAGAGCCGAUCUGGUCUGACGUCUCACACAGCUGCAGGAAGGCAUGCUCCAAGGUCUGCAAUAGAUAAUAGAUGCAUAAUGUAAAGACGGACCAGAUGAUAAGUGUACAAUAUUAUUUUCCCCAUUAAGGCUUCUCUUUGUCUUUACAAAGCAGAAAAUAUCACAGCAUAAAUGUUUUUUUCUGUUUUAUUUUCAAUGAGACAUAUUAA
This is a long non-coding RNA of Thunnus maccoyii (southern bluefin tuna), 487 nucleotides long. RefSeq lists it as uncharacterized. The transcript is spliced from 3 exons. NCBI's taxonomy places the organism in Eukaryota, Metazoa, Chordata, Actinopteri, Scombriformes, Scombridae. The record is from RefSeq and is a predicted model, not a curated record.